This 1229-nucleotide long non-coding RNA is filed under the name Musa acuminata (dwarf banana). RNAcentral describes it as "long non-coding RNA (MACU_LNC004151)". Lineage: Eukaryota; Viridiplantae; Streptophyta; Magnoliopsida; Zingiberales; Musaceae. The record is from RNAcentral.
GUAAUUUUAUUGAUAUCUUCUCAUCUUGAUGAUGUUCUUCCGUCCGAACACAAACGCAACCAUUGUUGAUGUCAAUAAUGUAUCAUUCAGGCCGGUGCAUCAGAGCACGCGAGAGCACUUGGCCCUAAAGGUUCCGAUGCCCACAAGGCUGCAGUGAUCGGCGAUACCAUCGGGGAUCCUCUAAAGGACACGUCGGGGCCGUCGCUCAACAUCCUCAUCAAGCUGAUGGCGGUGGAGUCGCUCGUGUUCGCACCAUUCUUUGCGGCUCACGGCGGCCUCCUCUUCAAGAUCCUCUGAGAUGGGAGAGGGGGGGGGACCGAGAGUGGGAAGGAGGCACCACCACGAGCUCCACUUCCACCUCCAUGUUCUUCUGCUACUGAUGCCAAACCUCUGUCACCCUGUCAACUGUUUGGCCUACCCAGUUUUCCGUCUUUAUGGUUAGUUCGUGUUGUAGUUCCAUGCAAGUCGGCACCUGCAAAGCCCCAUCGUGGACUUUGGAGCCAAGCAAGCUUUUCUUGUACUCGGUGAUGAUGAUAAUGGUGUUGACAGUUUUCUUUUCUUUUAAAUGGUGAUGAUAGUUGGAAAUGAUUCACCAAUAAGUUUUCUGCUGGCCAUAGCUACAGGGAGUUGGGUGUCUAAUGUCAUCAUCAUACAUGAUGCAGCCCAAGAUUUGAAAUUAAGAUUAAUUGAUUUUAUUAAUCAUCAUACAAAGCAUACGUGAUUGAUUUCGUAAAGGUCAAAAAAGAAAACUCAAAGCCUACAAAAUUUGCUUGAGUAAUUAUGUUAUUGUUUUCUCACCUUAUUAGGUGUUCGGGUUACUUCCAACCCGUAUUUAUAUCCCCAACUCAUAUCGAGCUUUGGUUUUGUAUCCGAGUCAUACUCAAGUCUUAGUCUUGGUUUGUAUCCAAGUUAUACUCUUGAGUUUUGGUUUGUAUCCGAGUUAUACUCUUGGGUUGUACUCGAGUCAUAUUCGGCAUGACUCAAGUCAUAUUCGGCUUGUAUUAAGCCUUGGUUCAAUUAAGAUUGGAUCGGUACCACAGUGAAGGAAAAGAAAAAGAAGAGAAAGCGAUUGAGAAAAAAAUAAGAAGAAAAAAAAUAUAUACCAUAAUGAAGGAAAAAAGCUCAAUCUGUAUCCGUCGAGUCUUCGACUCAUAUUGAGCCUUGGUUCGAUUAAGAUCGGAUCGGUACCAAAACGAAGAAAAAAAAAAAGAGAAGACGAUAAAAAAAAA